AGAGUUUGAUCAUGGCUCAGAUUGAACGCUGGCGGCAGGCCUAACACAUGCAAGUCGAACGGUAACAGGAAGCAGCUUGCUGCUUCGCUGACGAGUGGCGGACGGGUGAGUAAUGUCUGGGAAACUGCCUGAUGGAGGGGGAUAACUACUGGAAACGGUAGCUAAUACCGCAUAACGUCGCAAGACCAAAGAGGGGGACCUUCGGGCCUCUUGCCAUCGGAUGUGCCCAGAUGGGAUUAGCUUGUUGGUGGGGUAACGGCUCACCAAGGCGACGAUCCCUAGCUGGUCUGAGAGGAUGACCAGCCACACUGGAACUGAGACACGGUCCAGACUCCUACGGGAGGCAGCAGUGGGGAAUAUUGCACAAUGGGCGCAAGCCUGAUGCAGCCAUGCCGCGUGUAUGAAGAAGGCCUUCGGGUUGUAAAGUACUUUCAGCGGGGAGGAAGGGAGUAAAGUUAAUACCUUUGCUCAUUGACGUUACCCGCAGAAGAAGCACCGGCUAACUCCGUGCCAGCAGCCGCGGUAAUACGGAGGGUGCAAGCGUUAAUCGGAAUUACUGGGCGUAAAGCGCACGCAGGCGGUUUGUUAAGUCAGAUGUGAAAUCCCCGGGCUCAACCUGGGAACUGCAUCUGAUACUGGCAAGCUUGAGUCUCGUAGAGGGGGGUAGAAUUCCAGGUGUAGCGGUGAAAUGCGUAGAGAUCUGGAGGAAUACCGGUGGCGAAGGCGGCCCCCUGGACGAAGACUGACGCUCAGGUGCGAAAGCGUGGGGAGCAAACAGGAUUAGAUACCCUGGUAGUCCACGCCGUAAACGAUGUCGACUUGGAGGUUGUGCCCUUGAGGCGUGGCUUCCGGAGCUAACGCGUUAAGUCGACCGCCUGGGGAGUACGGCCGCAAGGUUAAAACUCAAAUGAAUUGACGGGGGCCCGCACAAGCGGUGGAGCAUGUGGUUUAAUUCGAUGCAACGCGAAGAACCUUACCUGGUCUUGACAUCCACGGAAGUUUUCAGAGAUGAGAAUGUGCCUUCGGGAACCGUGAGACAGGUGCUGCAUGGCUGUCGUCAGCUCGUGUUGUGAAAUGUUGGGUUAAGUCCCGCAACGAGCGCAACCCUUAUCCUUUGUUGCCAGCGGUCCG
This 1131-nucleotide ribosomal RNA is filed under the name Escherichia coli 2866450. Its description in RNAcentral is "bacterial SSU rRNA". It matches the Rfam family "Bacterial small subunit ribosomal RNA", at positions 8 to 1133 of the family's 1533-position model. The record is from RNAcentral. Lineage: Bacteria; Pseudomonadati; Pseudomonadota; Gammaproteobacteria; Enterobacterales; Enterobacteriaceae.